GUGAGGAAUAUUGCGCAAUGGCCGCAAGGCUGACGCAGCGACGCCGCGUGAAGGAUGAAGUCCGUUAGGAUGUAAACUUCUUUUGCAGGGGAUGAAAUCCCCGGUCUACGGGGUGUGACCGUACCCUGCGAAUAAGGAUCGGCCAACUACGUGCCAGCAGCCGCGGUAAUACGUAGGAUCCGAGCGUUGUCCGGAAUUACUGGGUGUAAAGGGCGUGUAGGUGGAUCUCUAAGUCGGUGGUGAAAUCCUGCAGCUUAACUGUAGAACUGCUUCCGAUACUGGAGAUCUUGAGUGCGGCAGAGGGAGAUGGAAUUCAUGGUGUAGCGGUGAAAUGUGUAGAUAUCAUGAAGAACACCGGUAGCGAAGGCGGUCUCCUGGUCCGCAACUGACACUGAGGCGCGAAAGCGUGGGGAGCAAACAGGAUUAGAUACCCCAGUAGUCC
This 442-nucleotide ribosomal RNA is filed under the name uncultured bacterium. Its description in RNAcentral is "bacterial SSU rRNA". It matches the Rfam family "Bacterial small subunit ribosomal RNA", at positions 354 to 796 of the family's 1533-position model. The record is from RNAcentral.